RNAcentral lists this ribosomal RNA (314 nucleotides) under uncultured eukaryote. Its description in RNAcentral is "partial 18S ribosomal RNA". It matches the Rfam family "Eukaryotic small subunit ribosomal RNA", at positions 1470 to 1796 of the family's 1831-position model. The record is from RNAcentral.
CCCUUAGAUGUUCUGGGCCGCACGCGCGCUACACUGAACAGUUCAACAAGUCUUAACCUUGGCCGAUAGGUCUGGGUAAUCUUUGAACGCUGUUCGUGAUUGGGAUAGACCUUUGCAAUUAUGGGUCUUCAACGAGGAAUUCCUAGUAAACGCAAGUCAUCAGCUUGCAUUGAUUACGUCCCUGCCCUUUGUACACACCGCCCGUCGCACCUACCGAUUGAAUGGUCCGGUGAAGCCUCCGGAUUGGCGCGCACCUCGGUGCCGCCGAGAAGUUGGCUAAACCUUACCAUUUAGAGGAAGGUGAAGUCGUANCA